GCGGGCGUGGUUCAAUGGUAGAACGCUACGUUGCCAACGUAGAGACGGGAGUUCGAUUCUCCUCGCCCGCUCCA
Molecule: transfer RNA, 74 nt
Filed under: bacterium
Lineage: Bacteria
Description: tRNA-Gly
Rfam family: tRNA
About the family: Transfer RNA (tRNA) molecules are approximately 80 nucleotides in length.
Source: RNAcentral